GCAGCAUCACCUGGGAACUUGUUAGAAACGCACAUUGUCAGGCCCAGGUGCUGCCCAAGCCCUCCUUAAUCAGAAACAUGGGGAGGAGGGUGGGUGAAGCUUGCUUGCGCUCUCUCACGCAGCCUGAAGAUGCAGGAGGCAACGUGGGGAGUCAGGCAGGCUUGACGUCACAUCCUGCUACUGCCACUCUUACUAGACUGGGGAACGCUGAGUAAAUUAUUGGACUUCUCUGUGCUUUCCCCACCUCACCAUUGUUCAGAUACUGAGGACACACUCAGGGGCUGGUCCACACGUAUUAUCCCUAUCGGUGGUCUCCAUAUCAGAGUCAUCUGGAGCACUUGGAAAAAUACAGAUUUCAGAGCACCACAAGAGACUCACAAAUCAGAAUCGCCAGGAUUGAAAACCCCUUCCAGCCUAUCAACUGGCUAGGAAGGAUCAUUCUUGCUAC
This 448-nucleotide long non-coding RNA is filed under the name Pan troglodytes (chimpanzee). RNAcentral describes it as "long non-coding RNA NONPTRT010464". The record is from RNAcentral. Lineage: Eukaryota; Metazoa; Chordata; Mammalia; Primates; Hominidae.